AAAAAAAAGAAAAAAAAGCAAAAACUAGCUGGAGAGAGAGACAGAGAGAGAUGCGUUCGAGAGAGAAAGAGCGAAGACGAAGAAGAGAACAUGAAGAGAAGAUGGCGGGAAGAGGAGUCAUUCGGAGCGACAGCUUUGCUUGCGACGGCCAUUGCUCCAUCCGGUCGAUGAUGACCCACCCCUCCGGCCGGAGCUCUCGUACCUCUUCCUCGCACCGCCCAAUUUCAGGUCCCUCUCUGUCGGUCUUUCUCCUUCUCUGUCCAUCUUAGUCUCUCUCCGUCGAUCUCGGCCGCAAAUCACAGGUUUCUCUCUCUUGGUCUUUAUCCCUCUCUGUCGAUCUCGGCCACAAAUCACAGGCUUUUCUCUCUUUCUCUCUAGGGAGUGGCUGAUCGAGUCUUAGUCUCUUGCCUACUAGUAAGGGUAGUUUGGUUACUAUUGCAAGGGCAUUGAGGUAUUUUUAUUUGAUUAUUUUAUAGUUCAUACCUCUUGAGUUUUGCCUGUCCUCUUGUCGUGGAAAUUGGAUGAGUGAUUCAUCUCACAAUCACUCUGUCAAUCUACUUGUGUAGCAUCUUUCACACAUGGAAGCAUUGUGGCGGAGCUCUGAUGCGAAAAUUGAUAAAGCACAGCCAGCCAUUAAAAUCAGGCUAGGGACAAAGCUAUGGUUGUCAACUUAGAGUUUAUAAAGGCUAUAGUUACAGCUGAAGAAGUGCUGUUGCUUGAUCCUCUCUGCCAGGAGGUUCUUCCGUUUGUGGAUCUGCUGCGGCAGCAACUUCUUCAUAAAAGCGUGUCCAAAAGUCAAGGAGGGGGUCAAAUGGAUGUACAAGAUAAUGAAAUGCAAUUAUCAUCUAGGGGACAAUGGUUAUCCGUUCCUAAAGCCGUUGAAGGUUUGUAGUGUGACCUCCCAUUUGAGUUUCAAGUUGUUGAGAUUGCAUUGAAGGUUGUUUGUACAUAUUUGGACUCUAGUGUAGCAGACCUUGAGAGAAAUGCUUACCCUGUAUUGGAUGAACCGGUGAGGAAUGUUAGCACCAAGAAUCUUGAGCACGUGAGGAGUUUGAAAAGCAAUCUGGCCAGUUUACUUGUACGGGCACAAAAGGUGCGUGAUGAAAUUGAACAUCUUUUAGAUGACAAUGAAGACAUGGCACAUUUAUACUUAACAAGGAAAUGGAUUCAGAGUCAGCAAUUUGAGGCUUAUUUAGCAGGUACGGCUUUUAACAGCAUUGUCAGUGCUUGACAUCAACUUCGGCAUCUUAGUUCUAAUAGGAGUGGAAGUUUAUUGUUGAGCAACCAUUUCUGUACUCAACUAAUUUCACAAUACAAAAUUAGACUACAACCAUGAGAACACACAUUCAAGUCAGAAACCAUUUUGUUCUUCCCCUGUUUCUCUGAUCUCUACUAAUAUGAAUGAAACCACUUUGAUUAUUUUCUUUCCUUUGUUUCGAUU
Non-coding RNA from Camellia sinensis, 1441 nucleotides. NCBI's taxonomy places the organism in Eukaryota, Viridiplantae, Streptophyta, Magnoliopsida, Ericales, Theaceae. The record is from RefSeq and is a predicted model, not a curated record.